UGAUUCGUAGAGUGGCUCUCUUGAUCUUCCUUAUACUCAGCCAUUUUCCUGAAUGCUAUCUUCUUGGCCUUCUCGGCUCUCAGCUUGGCUGCCAUCUUUAGUGGCAUUCUCAUCUUUGUUGAGUAAAGCUUUGAUCUGUUAGAGUCCUUCUUCAAAGCUGCUUCACUUCCACCUUGGUAGUCUCACUGUCACUGAGACUUAUUCUAUUGAUCUUUGGUGGAACUCGUAGAGUCAACAAUAGCAUUCACCAACUCAACGAUUCUGCAAC
This 268-nucleotide long non-coding RNA is filed under the name Panax ginseng (ginseng). RNAcentral's name for it is "long non-coding RNA (PGIN_LNC011540)". The record is from RNAcentral. Lineage: Eukaryota; Viridiplantae; Streptophyta; Magnoliopsida; Apiales; Araliaceae.